GAAGGCCCCGAGCGUUAUCCGGAUUUAUUGGGCGUAAGAGUUCAACGGCGGCAAGAAAAGUCAGGGGUGAAAGCUCGAGGCUCAACCUCGAAGACGCGCCUGAAACUUUCUUGCUUGAGUACGGGAGAGGCAGACGGAAUUGCCGGUGUAGUAGUAAAAUGCGUUAAUAUCGGCAAGAACACCAAUUGCGAAGGCAGUCUGCUAGAACGUAACUGACGCUAUAUGAACGAAAGCGUGGGUAGCGAAUGGGGGAUUAGAUACCCCAGUAGUCCACGCCGUAAACGUUGGGCACUAGGUGUUGGGAGUUUCGACCCCUCUCAGGACCGUUUAAGCUAACGCAUUAAGUGCCCCGCCUGGGGAGUACGGCCGCAAGGCUA
Molecule: ribosomal RNA, 377 nt
Filed under: uncultured organism
Description: partial 16S ribosomal RNA
Rfam family: Bacterial small subunit ribosomal RNA
Source: RNAcentral